RNAcentral lists this microRNA precursor (173 nucleotides) under Paramuricea clavata. Lineage: Eukaryota; Metazoa; Cnidaria; Anthozoa; Malacalcyonacea; Plexauridae. The record is from RNAcentral.
GCUUGAUGGCAUUAUCAGACUUGUCACAAGGUUUUUCUAACAAGUCUGAUACAGUCAUGAUAAACAAAAAUGUUACAAGGUUGACGACACAAGGUUGUAACAAUACUGCUAUAUCAGGACUGUAUCGGACUUGUUGGAACAACCUUGUAACAAGCCUGAUAAUAUCAACAAGG